GAUGAACGCUGGCGGCGUGCCUAAUACAUGCAAGUCGAACGCAUAGCGAAAGGUGCUUGCACCUUUCAAGUGAGUGGCGAACGGGUGAGUAACACGUGGACAACCUGCCUCAAGGCUGGGGAUAACAUUUGGAGACAGAUGCUAAUACCGAAUAAAACUUAGUGUCGCAUGACACAAAGUUAAAAGGCGCUUCGGCGUCACCUAGAGAUGGAUCCGCGGUGCAUUAGUUAGUUGGUGGGGUAAAGGCCUACCAAGACAAUGAUGCAUAGCCGAGUUGAGAGACUGAUCGGCCACAUUGGGACUGAGACACGGCCCAAACUCCUACGGGAGGCUGCAGUAGGGAAUCUUCCACAAUGGGCGAAAGCCUGAUGGAGCAACGCCGCGUGUGUGAUGAAGGCUUUCGGGUCGUAAAGCACUGUUGUAUGGGAAGAACAGCUAGAAUAGGAAAUGAUUUUAGUUUGACGGUACCAUACCAGAAAGGGACGGCUAAAUACGUG
Molecule: ribosomal RNA, 497 nt
Filed under: uncultured bacterium
Lineage: Bacteria
Description: partial 16S ribosomal RNA
Rfam family: Bacterial small subunit ribosomal RNA
Source: RNAcentral